GAUGAACGCUGGCGGCGUGCUUAACACAUGCAAGUCGAACGGGAAUUAUUUUAUUGAGACUUCGGUCGAUUUAAUUUAAUUCUAGUGGCGGACGGGUGAGUAACGCGUGGGUAACCUGCCUUAUACAGGGGGAUAACAGUCAGAAAUGGCUGCUAAUACCGCAUAAGCGCACAGAGCUGCAUGGCUCAGUGUGAAAAACUCCGGUGGUAUAAGAUGGACCCGCGUUGGAUUAGCUGGUUGGUGGGGUAACGGCCCACCAAGGCGACGAUCCAUAGCCGGCCUGAGAGGGUGAACGGCCACAUUGGGACUGAGACACGGCCCAGACUCCUACGGGAGGCAGCAGUGGGGAAUAUUGCACAAUGGGGGAAACCCUGAUGCAGCGACGCCGCGUGAAGGAAGAAGUAUCUCGGUAUGUAAACUUCUAUCAGCAGGGAAGAUAGUGACGGUACCUGACUAAGAAGCCCCGGCUAACUACGUG
This 478-nucleotide ribosomal RNA is filed under the name uncultured bacterium. RNAcentral describes it as "partial 16S ribosomal RNA". It matches the Rfam family "Bacterial small subunit ribosomal RNA", at positions 28 to 507 of the family's 1533-position model. The record is from RNAcentral.